This 874-nucleotide ribosomal RNA is filed under the name uncultured bacterium. RNAcentral describes it as "bacterial SSU rRNA". It matches the Rfam family "Bacterial small subunit ribosomal RNA", at positions 27 to 891 of the family's 1533-position model. The record is from RNAcentral.
GGAUGAACGCUAGCUACAGGCUUAACACAUGCAAGUCGAGGGGAAACGACAUCGAAAGCUUGCUUUUGAUGGGCGUCGACCGGCGCACGGGUGAGUAACGCGUAUCCAACCUGCCCACCACUUGGGGAUAACCUUGCGAAAGUAAGACUAAUACCCAAUGAUAUCUCUAGAAGACAUCUGAAAGAGAUUAAAGAUUUAUCGGUGAUGGAUGGGGAUGCGUCUGAUUAGCUUGUUGGCGGGGUAACGGCCCACCAAGGCAACGAUCAGUAGGGGUUCUGAGAGGAAGGUCCCCCACAUUGGAACUGAGACACGGUCCAAACUCCUACGGGAGGCAGCAGUGAGGAAUAUUGGUCAAUGGACGAGAGUCUGAACCAGCCAAGUAGCGUGCAGGAUGACGGCCCUAUGGGUUGUAAACUGCUUUUAUAAGGGAAUAAAGUGAGUCUCGUGAGACUUUUUGCAUGUACCUUAUGAAUAAGGACCGGCUAAUUCCGUGCCAGCAGCCGCGGUAAUACGGAAGGUCCGGGCGUUAUCCGGAUUUAUUGGGUUUAAAGGGAGCGUAGGCCGGGGAUUAAGCGUGUUGUGAAAUGUAGACGCUCAACGUCUGCACUGCAGCGCGAACUGGUUUCCUUGAGUACGCACAAAGUGGGCGGAAUUCGUGGUGUAGCGGUGAAAUGCUUAGAUAUCACGAAGAACUCCGAUUGCGAAGGCAGCUCACUGGAGCGCAACUGACGCUGAAGCUCGAAAGUGCGGGUAUCGAACUGGAUUAGAUACCCUGGUAGUCCGCACGGUAAACGAUGGAUGCCCGCUGUUGGUCUGAAUAGGUCAGCGGCCAAGCGAAAGCAUUAAGCAUCCCACCUGGGGAGUACGCCGGCAA